GGAAUAUUGCACAAUGGGCGAAAGCCUGAUGCAGCGACGCCGCGUGAGUGAAGAAGUAUUUCGGUAUGUAAAGCUCUAUCAGCAAGGAAGAUAAUGACGGUACUUGACUAAGAAGCCCCGGCUAACUACGUGCCAGCAGCCGCGGUAAUACGUAGGGGGCAAGCGUUAUCCGGAUUUACUGGGUGUAAAGGGAGUGUAGGUGGCAUGGCAAGUCAGAAGUGAAAGCCCAGGGCUCAACCCUGGGACUGCUUUUGAAACUGCCGCGCUAGAGUGCAGGAGAGGUAAGUGGAAUUCCUAGUGUAGCGGUGAAAUGCGUAGAUAUUAGGAGGAACACCAGUGGCGAAGGCGGCUUACUGGACUGUAACUGACACUGAGGCUCGAAAGCGUGGGGAGCAAACA
This 399-nucleotide ribosomal RNA is filed under the name uncultured bacterium. RNAcentral's name for it is "bacterial SSU rRNA". It matches the Rfam family "Bacterial small subunit ribosomal RNA", at positions 358 to 774 of the family's 1533-position model. The record is from RNAcentral.